GAUGAACGCUGGCGGCAUGCCUAAUACAUGCAAGUCGAGCGAACAGACGAGGAGCUUGCUCCUCUGACGUUAGCGGCGGACGGGUGAGUAACACGUGGAUAACCUACCUAUAAGACUGGGAUAACUUCGGGAAACCGGAGCUAAUACCGGAUAAUAUAUUGAACCGCAUGGUUCAAUAGUGAAAGACGGUUUUGCUGUCACUUAUAGAUGGAUCCGCGCCGCAUUAGCUAGUUGGUAAGGUAACGGCUUACCAAGGCGACGAUGCGUAGCCGACCUGAGAGGGUGAUCGGCCACACUGGAACUGAGACACGGUCCAGACUCCUACGGGAGGCAGCAGUAGGGAAUCUUCCGCAGUGGGCGAAAGCCUGACGGAGCAACGCCGCGUGAGUGAUGAAGGUCUUCGGAUCGUAAAACUCUGUUAUUAGGGAAGAACAAAUGUGUAAGUAACUAUGCACGUCUUGACGGUACCUAAUCAGAAAGCCACGGCUAACUACGUG
This 497-nucleotide ribosomal RNA is filed under the name uncultured bacterium. RNAcentral describes it as "partial 16S ribosomal RNA". It matches the Rfam family "Bacterial small subunit ribosomal RNA", at positions 28 to 507 of the family's 1533-position model. The record is from RNAcentral.